GUACUAAGUGUGCGAUAAGUAGAGCGGGACACGUGACAUCCUGCUCGAAGAUGGGGGGACCAUCCUCCAAGGCUAAAUACUCGUGAUCGACCGAUAGCGUACCAGUACUGUGAAGGAAAGGUUAAAAGAACCCCGGGAGGGGAGUGAAAUAGAUCCUGAAACCGCAUACAUACAAACAGUAGGAGCCUCGUUAAGGGGUGACUGCGUACCUUUUGCAUAAUGGGUCAGCGACUUACGUUUAAUGGCGAGCUUAACCGUAUAGGGGAGGCGCAGCGAAAGCGAGUUCGAACAGAGCGUUCAGUCGUUAGGCGUAGACCCGAAACCAGAUGAUCUAUCCAUGGCCAGGUUGAAGGUGUGGUAACACACACUGGAGGACCGAACCGACUAGUGUUGCAAAAUUAGCGGAUGAGCUGUGGAUAGGGGUGAAAGGCUAAACAAAUCUGGAGAUAGCUGGUUCUCCCCGAAAACUAUUGAGGUAGUGCCUCGUGUAUGACUCCAGGGGGUAGAGCACUGUUAUGGCUAGGGGGACAUGGCGUCUUACCAAACCAUGGCAAACUCCGAAUACUUGGAAGUUUGAGCACGGGAGACAGAGCACCGGGUGCUAACGUCCGGACUCAAGAGGGAAACAACCCAGACCGCCGGCUAAGGUCCCUAAUAUUGACUAAGUGGAAAACGAAGUGGAAAGGCUAAGACAGUCAGGAAGUUGGCUUAGAAGCAGCCAUCCUUCAAAGAAAGCGUAAUAGCUCACUGAUCGAGUCUUUCUGCGCGGAAGAUGUAACGGGGCUAAGUCAAUAACCGAAGCCGCGGAUUCACACUUAUGUGUGAGUGGUAGGGGAGCGUUCUGUAAGCCUGCGAAGGUGACUCGUAAGGGUUGCUGGAGGUAUCAGAAGUGCGAAUGCUGACAUGAGUAACGUUAAAGCGGGUGAAAAGCCCGCUCGCCGUAAGCCCAAGGUUUCCUGCUCUACGUUCAUCGGAGCAGGGUGAGUCGGCCCCUAAGGUGAGGCUGAGAAGCGUAACUGAUGGGAACAAGGUUAAUAUUCCUUGACCACCGCUGAAUGCGAAGGGGGGACGGAGUAUUGAAGAUCAUCCGGGUGUUGGAUAUCCCGGUUUGCGAGCGUAGGAGGCUGACAGGCAAAUCCGUCAGCGAAUCUCCGAGGCGAAGCAUCGAGCUCUCUUUUGAGCGAAGUGAUUGGAUGUGCUUCCAGGAAAAGCCUCUAAGCUCCAGUUCAGCGGGACCGUACCGCAAACCGACACUGGUGGGCGAGCUGAAUAUGCUCAGGCGCUUGAGAGAACUCAGGAGAAGGAACUCGGCAAAUUGACACCGUAACUUCGGGAUAAGGUGUGCCUUUGUAGCGUGGAGGGAGAAACACCCCGAGCGCGAAGAGGUCUCAGAUAAUCGGUGGCUGCGACUGUUUAUUAAAAACACAGCACUCUGCAAAGACGAAAGUCGACGUAUAGGGUGUGAUGCCUGCCCGGUGCUGGAAGAUUAAUUGAUGGGGUGCAAGCUCCUGAUCGAAGUCCCAGUAAACGGCGGCCGUAACUAUAACGGUCCUAAGGUAGCGAAAUUCCUUGUCGGGCAAGUUCCGACCUGCACGAAUGGCAUAACGAUGGCCACACUGUCUCCUCCUGAGACUCAGUGAAGUUGAAGUGUUUGUGAUGAUGCAAUCUCCCCGCGGCUAGACGGAAAGACCCCAUGAACCUUUACUGUAGCUUUGCAUUGGACUUUGAACCGAUCUGUGUAGGAUAGGCGGGAGCCUGUGAAACCACAACGCCAGUUGUGGCGGAGGCGUCCUUGAAAUACCGCCCUGAUUUGUUUGAGGUUCUAACCUGGGACAGUCAUCCUGUCCGGGGACCGUGCAUGGUAGGCAGUUUGACUGGGGCGGUCUCCUCCUAAAGGGUAACGGAGGAGUGCGAAGGUACGCUAGGUACGGUCGGAAAUCGUGCUGAUAGUGCAAUGGCAAAAGCGUGCUUGACUGCGAGACCCACAAGUCGAGCAGAUACGAAAGUAGGUCAUAGUGAUCCGGUGGCUCUGUAUGGAAGGGCCAUCGCUCAACGGAUAAAAGGUACUCUGGGGAUAACAGGCUGAUACCGCCCAAGAGUUCAUAUCGA
This 2109-nucleotide ribosomal RNA is filed under the name human gut metagenome. Its description in RNAcentral is "bacterial LSU rRNA". It matches the Rfam family "Bacterial large subunit ribosomal RNA", at positions 394 to 2508 of the family's 2925-position model. The record is from RNAcentral.